This 341-nucleotide unclassified non-coding RNA is filed under the name soil metagenome. RNAcentral describes it as "partial contains 5.8S ribosomal RNA, internal transcribed spacer 2, and large subunit ribosomal RNA". The stretch from base 1 to 120 matches the Rfam family "5.8S ribosomal RNA", at positions 35 to 154 of the family's 154-position model. The record is from RNAcentral.
GAUGAAGAACGCAGCGAAAUGCGAUAAGUAGUGUGAAUUGCAGAAUUCAGUGAAUCAUCGAAUCUUUGAACGCACAUUGCGCCCCUCGGUAUUCCGUGGGGCACGCCUGUUCGAGCGUCAUUUACACCCUCAAGCGCAGCUUGGUGUUGGGCGUCUGUCCCGCUCUCCGUAGCGCGGACUCGCCUCAAAGUCAUUGGCGGCGGUCGUGCCGGCUCCUCGCGCAGCACAUUUGCGCUUCUCGGAGGCCCGGCGGAUCGGCAUCCAGCAAGCUACUUUUUAUGACUUGACCUCGGAUCAGGCGAGGAUACCCGCUGAACUUAAGCAUAUCAAUAAGCGGAGGA